Molecule: long non-coding RNA, 584 nt
Filed under: Mytilus galloprovincialis (Mediterranean mussel)
Lineage: Eukaryota; Metazoa; Mollusca; Bivalvia; Mytilida; Mytilidae
Source: RNAcentral
CGAGCGUCACUGAUGAGUCUUUUGUAGACGAAACGCGCGUCUGGCGUAUAUAUAAAAUUUAGUCCUGGUAUCUAUGAUGAGUUUAUUUUAUACUAUAUAUAUAUAUAUAUAUAUAUAUGACAUUUCAUCUGGCCCUACAUCUACCGGGUGUUUAGUAAAGGCAACAGUAGUAUACCGCAGUUCGAAAUUCAUAAAUCGAGAAAUAAAAACAAAUCCGGGUUACAAACUAAAACUUAGGGAAACGCAUCAAAUAUAAGAGGAAAACUACGACACAACAGAAAUACAACAUUAAAAUGUAACAAACACAGAAACGAACUAUUAUAUAACAAUGGCAAUUUUCCUGACUUGGUACAGGACAUUUUAAGAAAAAAAAAUGGUGGAUUGAACCUGGUUUUGUGACAUGCCAAACCUUCCACUUUAAUGGCAAUGAUAAAUUUAACAUUAAAAUGACAAUAUUACCUGACAGGAUUACAUUACAAAAAAAUGGGAGAAAAUAUAGGACAGAGAAAUACACUAAUAAUAGCUAACAAAAAGUAUCAGGUUUAAAAUUUUAUACGCCAGACGUGCGUUUCGUUACAUUUUUA